AUGGAUAUCGAGAUAGAGUUAGCAAAGUGUGAGUGUUGUGGCUUGAAAGAGGAUUGCACUCAAGACUACAUCAGUGAAGUGAAGUCGAAAUUUAGCGGAAAAUGGUUAUGUGGGCUGUGUUCAGAAGCUGUUAGAGAUGAAGCUAUUAGAGGGAAAAGGACAUUUGCAAUGGAAGAAGCAAUGAAAUCUCACAUGUUGUUCUGUCGUAGGAUUAAAUCGAAUCCUGCAGUUUGUGUUGCUGAUGGUAUGAGACAGAUGCUUAGGAGAAGAAGGUCAAAUGAGUUGUCUUCAUCAAACACACACACGAAGUCAACCACAACUUCUUAA
Vicia faba (fava bean) is the source of this 327-nucleotide non-coding RNA. Lineage: Eukaryota; Viridiplantae; Streptophyta; Magnoliopsida; Fabales; Fabaceae. The record is from the annotation of a GenBank genome assembly.